AUACAGAGGAUGCGAGCGUUAUCCGGAUUUAUUGGGUUUAAAGGGAGCGUAGGUGGGAUAUUAAGUCAGCUGUGAAAGUUUGGGGCUCAACCUGAAAAUUGCAGUUGAUACUGUUUUCCUUGAGUACGGUACAGGUGGGCGGAAUUCGUGGUGUAGCGGUGAAAUGCUUAGAUAUCACGAAGAACUCCGAUCGCGAAGGCAGCUCACCGGGCCGGAACUGACACUGAUGCUCGAAAGUGCGGGUAUCAAACAGGAUUAGAUACCCUGGUAGUCCGCACAGUAAACGAUGAAUACUCGCUGUUUGCGAUACACGGUAAGCGGCCAAGCGAAAGCGUUAAGUAUUCCAACUGGGGAGUACGCCGGCAACGGUGA
RNAcentral lists this ribosomal RNA (372 nucleotides) under uncultured bacterium. RNAcentral describes it as "partial 16S ribosomal RNA". It matches the Rfam family "Bacterial small subunit ribosomal RNA", at positions 523 to 897 of the family's 1533-position model. The record is from RNAcentral.